This 249-nucleotide ribosomal RNA is filed under the name uncultured organism. RNAcentral describes it as "partial 16S ribosomal RNA". It matches the Rfam family "Bacterial small subunit ribosomal RNA", at positions 355 to 621 of the family's 1533-position model. The record is from RNAcentral.
UUAGGAAUUUUGGGCAAUGGGCGGAAGCCUGACCCAGCAACGCCGCGUGGGUGAUGAAGGCCUUCGGGUCGUAAAGCCCUUUUCCCAGGGACGAUGGUGACGGUACCUGGGGAAUCAGCCCCGGCUCCCUCCGUGCCCGCAGCCGCGGGAAUACGUCGGCUGCCAGCGUUUUCCGGAAUUAUUGGGCGUAAAGCGUCCGUAGGGGGUUGUUUCAGUCUGCUGUUAAAGCGUGCUGCUUAACCUCAUCUC